This 398-nucleotide long non-coding RNA is filed under the name Homo sapiens (human). RNAcentral's name for it is "non-protein coding lnc-HCFC1-3:2". The record is from RNAcentral. Lineage: Eukaryota; Metazoa; Chordata; Mammalia; Primates; Hominidae.
GAUGAGCAAGGGUCUCCCAGCGCGACAGGACAUGGAGAAAGAGCGAGAGACUCUGCAGGCCUGGAAGGAGCGCGUGGGGCAGGAGCUGGACCGCGUGGUGGCUUUCUGGAUGGAGCACUCCCACGACCAGGAGCACGGGUAUGGAUGUAUUGUCGCCUGUACCGCACUUUCGAGCGCUUCCGCCAUGCUCAGCUUCUGGACGCAGCAAAAGCAGGUGGUGAGUUCUUGCUGCGGUAUGCCCGGGUGGCACCUCCUGGCAAGAAGUGUGCCUUUGUGCUGACUCGGGACGGCCGCCCGGUCAAGGUGCAGCGAACCAUCUUCAGUGAGUGUUUCUACACCAUGGCCAUGAACGAGCUGUGGAGAGCCACAGGGGAAGUGCGGUACCAGGUGUGUGAGAG